AGUGAACGCUGGCGGUAGGCCUAACACAUGCAAGUCGAACGGCAGCACAGUAAGAGCUUGCUCUUACGGGUGGCGAGUGGCGGACGAGUGAGGAAUACAUCGGAAUCUACUUUUUCGUGGGGGAUAACGUAGGGAAACUUACGCUAAUACCGCAUACGACCUACGGGUGAAAGCAGGGGAUCUUCGGACCUUGCGCGAUUGAAUGAGCCGAUGUCGGAUUAGCUGGUUGGCGGGGUAACGGCCCACCAAGGCGACGAUCCGUAGCUGGUCUGAGAGGAUGAUCAGCCACACUGGAACUGAGACACGGUCCAGACUCCUACGGGAGGCAGCGGUGGGGAAUAUUGGACAAUGGGCGCAAGCCUGAUCCAGCCAUACCGCGUUGGUGAAGAAGGCCUUCGGGUUGUAAAGCCCUUUUGUUGGGAAAGAAAAGCAGCAGGUUAAGACCCCGCUGUUCUGACGGUACCCAAAGAAUAAGCACCGGCUAACUUCGUG
RNAcentral lists this ribosomal RNA (492 nucleotides) under uncultured bacterium. RNAcentral's name for it is "partial 16S ribosomal RNA". It matches the Rfam family "Bacterial small subunit ribosomal RNA", at positions 29 to 507 of the family's 1533-position model. The record is from RNAcentral.